This 305-nucleotide ribosomal RNA is filed under the name uncultured bacterium. RNAcentral describes it as "bacterial SSU rRNA". It matches the Rfam family "Bacterial small subunit ribosomal RNA", at positions 334 to 655 of the family's 1533-position model. The record is from RNAcentral.
AGUGCCUACGGGAGGCAGCAGUGGGGAAUAUUGCACAAUGGGGGAAACCCUGAUGCAGCGACGCCGCGUGAGUGAAGAAGUAUUUCGGUAUGUAAAGCUCUAUCAGCAGGAACGAGACAAGACGGUACCUGACUAAGAAGCCCCGGCUAACUACGUGCCAGCAGCCGCGGUAAUACGUAGGGGGCAAGCGUUAUCCGGAAUCACUGGGUGUAAAGGGAGCGUAGACGGCGAGGUAAGCCUGAAGUGGAAGCCCGCGGCCCAACCGCGGAACUGCUUUGGGAACUGUUUUGCUGGAGUAUGGGAGG